AGGCCCUUUUCGUCUGGGGAAUGGAGAGGUACCCCCAGGCUGAAAGACUGCCUGGUCUCCAGCUUGAGGAUAAGGGAGAAGUGUGCCAAACUUGCAGAUUCACAGGAUCAGCUGGAGACCUCCCAAGAAAUUUCACUGAAACAGAUUCAUAAAUGCUUGUGUAAUAGAGCCCCCCAAGGAGUUUCGCUAUAACAGGUUUCUGCAUUACUGAAUGUCAAGAAUAGCCAGAUUGCACUUCAUAGGUAACUAUUAUCCUUGACCAAUAAACAUCAUUUGGCUCUAUUCUGCUUACA
Molecule: long non-coding RNA, 293 nt
Filed under: Coturnix japonica (Japanese quail)
Lineage: Eukaryota; Metazoa; Chordata; Aves; Galliformes; Phasianidae
Description: lncRNA (ENSCJPG00005015543.1)
Source: RNAcentral